This 440-nucleotide ribosomal RNA is filed under the name uncultured bacterium. RNAcentral's name for it is "partial 16S ribosomal RNA". It matches the Rfam family "Bacterial small subunit ribosomal RNA", at positions 338 to 795 of the family's 1533-position model. The record is from RNAcentral.
CCUACGGGAGGCAGCAGUGGGGAAUAUUGCACAAUGGGCGAAACCCUGAUGCAGCAACGCCGCGUGAGUGAAGAAGGCUUUCGGUAUGUAAAGCUCUAUUCUCAGGGAAGAAAAUGAUGGUACCUCAUGAAGAAGCAGCGGCUAACUACUACCCAGCAGCCGCGGUAAUACGUAGGAGGCGAGCGUUAUCCGGAGUUAUUGCGUGUAAAGGGGUGGGAGACGGCGGUGUAAGUCAUCUGGGAAAGGCGGGGGCUCAACCUCCUGACUGCUUUGGAAACUGUUAUGCUGGAGUGCAGGAGAGGUAAGUGGAAUUCCUAGUGUAGCGGUGAAAUGCGUAGAUAUUAGGAGGAACACCAGUGGCGAAGGCGGCUUACUGGACUGUAACUGACGCUGAGGCUCGAAAGCGUGGGGAGCAAACAGGAUUAGAUACCCUAGUAGUC